RNAcentral lists this long non-coding RNA (481 nucleotides) under Struthio camelus australis. RNAcentral's name for it is "lncRNA (ENSSCUG00000018309.1)". Lineage: Eukaryota; Metazoa; Chordata; Aves; Struthioniformes; Struthionidae. The record is from RNAcentral.
UAUUCGUUUGUUUGUUUGUUUGUUUUCCCUUCCAGGUUAAAUCGAUCUAGGAACGCGUGUACUUUGUUGAGCUUAAUACUGGCUGAGAAGUUUUCUUAAGGACAUCAUUCCUCUUUAUCCAUUGCUUGUGAUCUGUAUGAGGAGAUAUGUGAUGGGAGAAACUGCAAGAUAUAACAAAGCAACAGAAGCAUAGUGGAAAACAAAAUCUGAGGCGCCCCUUCUUCCUUACCCGUUGCAGCUCUUUAGAGGGUGAGCGCUCAUUCUGGAUGCACCUCGGUUCUUGUGCCUUAAAGCCAGAGUACAGAGAGGGAACUUGAAGAUGGAAAUUAGUGGAUCCUGUGCUUUGUCAUUCUGGAAACCUCAGAUCCAAGACAUCUUGAAUUUGACAGGUGAAAACAACUUGGUUUGCAAAGCCAAUGAUUCAGGAUUCGUUGCCAAUCAUGAUGUGGGCUUUGAGCUAAGCAAGGCAAGAGUCUUCUAG